AGAGUUUGAUCCUGGCUCAGGAUGAACGCCCUUUGCAGGCUUAACACAUGCAAGUCGAGGGGCAUCGGGAGGGAAGCUUGCUUUCCUUGCCGGCGACCGGCGCACGGGUGAGUAACACGUAUGCAACCUGCCCUCUUCAGGGGGACAACCUUCCGAAAGGGAGGCUAAUCCCGCGUAUAUCGGUUUCGGGCAUCCGAGAUCGAGGAAAGAUUCAUCGGAAGAGGAUGGGCAUGCGGCGCAUUAGCUAGACGGCGGGGUAACGGCCCACCGUGGCGACGAUGCGUAGGGGUUCUGAGAGGAAGGUACCCCACACUGGUACUGAGACACGGACCAGACUCCUACGGGAGGCAGCAGUGAGGAAUAUUGGUCAAUGGGAGAGAUCCUGAACCAGCCAAGCCGCGUGAGGGAAGACGGCCCUAUGGGUUGUAAACCUCUUUUGUCGGAGAACAAAACCCGGGACGAGUCCCGGACUGCGUGUAUCCGAAGAAAAAGCAUCGGCUAACUCCGUGCCAGCGGCCGCGGUAAUACGGAGGAUGCGAGCGUUAUCCGGAUUUAUUGGGUUUAAAGGGUGCGUAGGCGGUCCGUUAAGUCAGCGGUAAAAUUGCGGGGCUCAACCCCGUCGAGCCGUUGAAACUGGCAGACUUGAGUUGGCGAGAAGUACGCGGAAUGCGCGGUGUAGCGGUGAAAUGCAUAGAUAUCGCGCAGAACUCCGAUUGCGAAGGCAGCGUACCGGCGCCAGACUGACGCUGAGGCACGAAAGCGUGGGGAUCGAACAGGAUUAGAUACCCUGGUAGUCCACGCAGUAAACGAUGA
This 813-nucleotide ribosomal RNA is filed under the name uncultured bacterium. Its description in RNAcentral is "bacterial SSU rRNA". It matches the Rfam family "Bacterial small subunit ribosomal RNA", at positions 8 to 812 of the family's 1533-position model. The record is from RNAcentral.